Molecule: ribosomal RNA, 307 nt
Filed under: uncultured Planctomycetota bacterium
Lineage: Bacteria; Pseudomonadati; Planctomycetota
Description: bacterial SSU rRNA
Rfam family: Bacterial small subunit ribosomal RNA
Source: RNAcentral
AAUGAACGUUGGCGGCGUGGAUUAGGCAUGCAAGUCGAGCGAGAACCGUAGCAAUACGGGGACAGCGGCGAACGGGAGAGUAACGCGUGGAGUACCUGCCCUGGGGACUGGGAUAGCCGUGGGAAACUGCGGGUAAUACCGGAUAACGUCUCCGGACCAAAGGUGUGAUUCCGCCCUGGGAUGGCUCCGCGUCCUAUUAGCUUGUUGGUGGGGUAAUGGCCUACCAAGGCUGCGAUGGGUACCGGGUGUGAGAGCAUGACCCGGCUCACUGGGACUGAGACACUGCCCAGACACCUACGGGUGGCUG